This 1567-nucleotide long non-coding RNA is filed under the name Podarcis lilfordi (Lilford's wall lizard). The record is from RNAcentral. Lineage: Eukaryota; Metazoa; Chordata; Lepidosauria; Squamata; Lacertidae.
CUGCACAUACUGCUACCUGAGACUGCCGGCAAAGAUUCAGCCCCAGCUAAUGUUUCCAGUGGGCAGGGAUGACAGCUGCUGUAGUCCAUCGGCUGCUGGAAGUUCACUGGUUCCUCGUCAUCCAGGAGAGAGUGCUUCAGUGUCCUCAAGACACAGCACACGGCGGUGGCAAAUACAUUUCUCACAGAGCCAUACUAAUGAAUAUUGCCUUUCCUGUUUUCCAGGUUAGAAGCGGCUACUCAGGUCAGUGGCACUUCACGAGAAAAAGCAUUAUUUAAAAGAAUCCCUGCACAAAAGGAUUUGCAAAAGAGAGGACGCGUCGAAUGUAGAGUUGGAAAUGAUCUCAAGAGUCUCUUCUAAACCUCUGCAAUGCAGGAAUCUCAACUAUAAAAAAGGUAAAGGACCCCUGGACGGUUCAGUCCAGUAAAAGGCAGCUACGAGGUUGCGGCACUCAUCUCGCUUCUUCUUCCUCUUCUUUUUUAAAGAAAUUAUUAUUUAUAUGCCGCCCAUCUUGCUGUGUUUCCCCAACCACUCUGGGCGGCUCCCAACAAAAUAUUAAAAACACGAGAAACCAUCAAACAUUAAAAACUUGCCUAAACAGGGCUCCCUUCAGAUGUCUUCUAAAAGUCAGAUAGUUGUUUAUUUCCUCGACAUCUGAUGGGAGGGCGUUCCACAGGGCAGCUGCCACUACCGAGAAGGCCCUCUGCCUGGUUCCCUGUAACCUCACCUCGUAGUGAGGGAACCACCAGAAGGACCUUGGAGCUGGACCUCUGUGGGUGGGGGUAGAGCUGAACGAUGGGGGUGGAGAUGCUCCUUCAGAUAUACUGGGCCGUUCACGGGGCAGUGCUGGAUUAAAGCCUGUGGAGGCCCCUUGGUGGUCAAAAUCUGGGCGGGGGGCAGGCCUUGUGCGCAUCCUGGAAUAACAUUGAACUAAGAAAGCUUGACUGUCAUUUUCUUUCAAGAUCAAAUCAAUAUUAUUUUGAUCCACUGCUGUGGAACCCCUAAAAAGUGUGGGGCCCAAAGGCCAGUGCCUCCUCUGCCUAUUUGGUAAUCCAGCCCGGCCCAGGAGAGAGAAGAAACAGAAGUUGAGGGACACAUCCUGAUGUGCUGCAGCUGUUCCCCACAAUGAAAUGGAAGGCUCAACAUUUGUCAGGCACUUUCGGAUGCUCAGCAGCCCUGUGUGGUUACAACAACCCUGUAAAGUAGGCUGGUGCUAUGUGCUCCCCAAAUUGCAGCUGAAUCCCUCGCAGAUUGGCACCCAACCUCUGCUUAAAAGCCUCCAAGGAAGGAGAGUCCACCACCAUCCCAGAGAGUCUUAACCAUCAGAAAGUUCUUCCGAAUCUCCUCUCCUGCCCUCCCCUCUGGAGUAGCAGAAAUCAAGCUUGCUCCCUCCUGUAGCCCUCAGAUAUUGGAAGAUGGCUCUCCUCUCAGUCUCCUCUUCUCCAGGCUAAAAAUACCUAGCUGCCUCAACCGUUCCUCAUGAGGCUUGGUUUCCAACUGCCUUAACAGUUCCUCAUGAGGCUUGGUUCCAGCUGCCUCAACCGUUCCUCAUCAGGCUUGGUUUCCA